This 271-nucleotide ribosomal RNA is filed under the name uncultured bacterium. RNAcentral's name for it is "partial small subunit ribosomal RNA". It matches the Rfam family "Bacterial small subunit ribosomal RNA", at positions 26 to 285 of the family's 1533-position model. The record is from RNAcentral.
AGAAUCAACGCUGGCGGCGUGCCUAACACAUGCAAGUCGAACGCGAGAGGGGCUUCGGCCCUGAUUGAGUGGCGAACGGGUGAGUAACGCGUGGGUGACCUACCUUCGAAUGGGGGAUAACGUCCCGAAAGGGACGCUAAUACCGCAUAACAUCCUGCUUUUGAACAGGUGGAGAUCAAAGCUGGGGAUCGUAAGACCUGGCGUUUGAAGAGGGGCCCGCGUCUGAUUAGCUAGUUGGUGAGGUAACGGCCCACCAAGACGACGAUCAGUA